GUAAUGCCUGUUUAAAAUGAUUUGCUUUUUAAGUUCCGAAGUUCACUAUAAAGGGUCUUUGAAGAGGCAAUAAAAUCUGUUAUUGAUUUUCAUAUUUUUAACAAAGAUGACAUGGUUCUAUUAGUGGUCAUGCUUUUCAAUUUGUGUGUUUAAACAUACUUUAACCCCCUAUUUAAUGUAAGUCUCUUAGGCUUCAUUUUUUCCACUUGCAAAGUAGUUCUCAGAACAAUCCUUCUGAACCUGCCUCAGCAACGAUUCUGAGAGUACUUGGUUUUUCUCUGGUAGGUAGUAUUGGUGAUUUUGCUACUUAAAUGAAAAUAUCUUUUAUUUUCCUAAAAAUAUUGGUCUAAAGUCUUUGGACUGGAAGGAGUGGAUAAAAUGAGAAUUGAAGUUGACAGCUGGUGACCUAAGGGGAUUCAUGACUGUCUGCAAACUACAGGAAGGAGUCCUCCUACAGAACAAAUAUAGAUGAACUUAAUGUUUUCUUGCAGUUUGUUUUUUGUUUCCAGUCUUCAAAGUUGAAAAAGUUUUGUGUUUUCCAAUAGCAAAGAAUUGGCCUACAAAAUCUAUGAAUCGUAAGUUAAAGUACAUAGUUGUAGUGUUUCAUUUUAUUUUGAGUGUUGUGCAUUUUAUAACACAGGUUAUUUACUCCAAACUUAUCUGCUCAAGUUCCUCAAGUAUUGUGCCAUGACUUACACAUUUACCAGAGUAAAAUAGGACAAAUUUGAAUAUCAGCAUUUAUUUUAAGGCACCAACAUUUAUUUCCUCAAUUAUUGUGCCAUGACUUGCACAUUUACCACAAGGAAGGGCAUGUAGCUGAAGCAAACUUCCGCGGCUUUCAGGUAGUAAUCUUCCAACUACUGUUGGCAGCAAUGCAGAUUGUCAAAUGCACACUUAAACUUAAAAUUUGGGGAUAAUUCAGAAAGAAUUCCGAGAUGUUUAUCCUAAAGAUUAUGUGUUAGUUACACUUAAAUAGAGGCAAAUUAAGCUUGAAAGUAAUCAUUAAACAUAAAAUAGUUCCUGGGAUCUGCUACACUUAAUUAAAUCAAAUUUAUUUUUCUCCAGUUCUGUAUCAGGUAGCGGGGGGAAAGUGAGGAAUUCUGGAUUUGGAGCUUGAGGUCCGGGAUUCAAGUUCCAACUUUGCAGCUUAUUACCUCCACCACCUUUUGAGAAAUAAAAUCCAGUGAGAUUCAACAAAUUGUCAAGUUACACACUUCUGAAUGACAGAUUUGGGACCAGAAUCUAGACCUCAGAAUCCUCUGUUUCCUCGGGGUGCUCAGCAGCUUGGAGUCCUGCAACAGAUUCUUCUUUUCCUGAAUAAGUCAUUUUCAGAGUCAUCUGGAUUUUCAGAAUCAGAUGAAUCCUCACAUUAUCAUAAUCAUCAUCUUCAUCAUCAUCUUCAUCUUCAUCAUGGUCAGCAGCAGCAGCCUCUCCAGCUACAUCACCUUCUUCAUCAUGAUGUACUUCACUAAAGCUAAGUUCACAGUGUCAUCUAUCCCUUCCUGAAAAUUGACUAUUGACAGCUGGCUGAUAUUGAAACUCCAGUUCCUCAUCAAUUUUCUUGUCUUCUUCCCCUUUUCAGAAGUAAGAUAUUGAUUUUUGAUCUCCUGUAACAAGACGGCCAGUUUGUUCUUUUUUUUCCACACUCAUGUCUAAAGAAUGUUUACUUUCUUUCUUCAUUACCUAAGUUUGCUAAUUACAAAUUGCUAGGUCCAAGAUUGUUGUCUGUGAAGACUGAACACUUCACCCUGUGAGGAUAGGACUCCCUUGGUGGUGCUCAUCAUUUUGGGAUCUGGAAGGAAAACGCUCAACCUACUUGUGGUUCUUAGCAGUGUUGCCAGCAGCCUGCCAUCUGCCAUGGCUGAAGUAGCCCACUCGAGAAUGCUCUUCACAAUUCAUUCAUUUUUAAGGGGUUAUAAAAAAAAUCAUGUAAAGGAAAAGGAAACACUUCCGUUAGGUGCAAACUCUCUAAUUUAAUAUUAAUAUUAAUUAGUCAAGGCAUAUGAAAGCAUUGUUUAGAAAUAUUUUACCAUAUAAGAAGGAUCAACCAUAAAAAAUAUUUCUUCCCUUAUAAAAAGGAUGUUAUUUAAAUAUAUAGCUAUAAUUUCAUAAUUUUGCAUUCAAUUGUGAUGCAGAUAUUUAUAUUUAAUUAGUCUACACUAACAUAGACAUUUUAUACAUGUUCAUUUUUUAUUAAAGUAUGAAAUACAAUGUUAAACAUAUGAAACACAUAGGUGUUUUGUUCACAUUUAAAUGUUUUUCUAUUUUAGCAUACUUUUAACUUACUACAGGUAAUUAAUCAUAAAAUAUAGCUAAGCAGUUUCCAAAAUUUGUAAUUAUCACUAGAGGACAUAUGACUAAUUUGAGAUGACUCACCAGAGAGAUGAAUAAAUUAAGUCUGUCAUAAUGUUAUAUAUCUAUUAAAAUGUUUUUAAAAAUUCACUGCAUACACAUUUUAACUAAUUUUCAAUUAUUAAUAAUAGCCAUUAAAAUGUUAAAAAGUUUAUAAAUAUCUAAGGGACCUCAUUUAAGUUAUAAAUUAAUUGUGAAAGAUUGUCUUAAAAAAAUGAAUGUAAUGAAAGUAGCCUCUGAAUUGUAAUACUUAAAAUAAGGCAUUGGAAUAGCCAAUUAUUUUUAUAUCUAUUUGCAAAUUAAAAGUUAUAAUGCAAAAACAAAUCUGGGUCGGGUACAGUGGCUCACGCCUGUAAUUCUAGCACUUUGGGAGGCUGAGGUGGGCAGAUCACGAGGUGAGGAAUUUGAGACCAGCCUGGCCAAUAUGGUGAAACUGCAUCUCUACUAAAAAUAGAAAAAAUCAGCCGGGUGUGGUGGUGCACAUCUGUAGUCCCAGCUACUCAGGAGGCUGAAGCAGGAGAAUUGCUUGAACCCAGGAGGCAAAUGUUGCAGGAGUCGAGAUCAUGCCACUGCACUCCAGCCUGGGCGACAGAGCAAGACUCUGUUUC
Pan troglodytes (chimpanzee) is the source of this 2960-nucleotide long non-coding RNA. RefSeq lists it as uncharacterized. The record is from RefSeq and is a predicted model, not a curated record. The transcript is spliced from 3 exons. Lineage: Eukaryota; Metazoa; Chordata; Mammalia; Primates; Hominidae.